RNAcentral lists this unclassified non-coding RNA (3093 nucleotides) under Leishmania donovani. Its description in RNAcentral is "gene:LdHU3.17.1620(CDS-product:hydrolase-like_pro tein)". The record is from RNAcentral. Lineage: Eukaryota; Euglenozoa; Kinetoplastea; Trypanosomatida; Trypanosomatidae.
GAGGCGAAUACACCAUCUCGAAGAAAGAGCAUCCGCGCCUCCACCCAGCACCACCACGACCACCAACAUCGCCGCCGCCGCCACCGCCACCAGACGCACCCCCCCCUACACACACACAAAAACGAAAAGCUCGGCAAGGGAAAGAGGAACGAGUGGAGCUCUCAGUUCGGUCUAUCUGCGCACUUCUCCUUCCUCGCCUUCCCCUCGCCAACAUACAGAACAUGCCUCAGCAUAACGACGGCGGAUACGUGGUGGUGAGCGACGGAUCGACGUCGCCGCAUCCUCAAACAGCGACGAAGCAGCCUACCAGGCCAGAGGACAUGGACCUUCCACCAGCCAUCCUUGAGGAGCUUAGCCGCAUCUUCCCGCGCCCACCAGAUGACGCCUUCGUACAUGUUGGGCGCUGCGCCAGCACCGGCAAGGACAUCACGCUCUGCUACAGUGCCUUUGGCGACCCGUCAGACCCAUGCAUUCUUCUCAUCAUGGGCAUGAACGCGACGUCGCUCAUGUGGGACACCCGUUUUUGCGGCUACCUGGCUGCAGCCGGCUUCUACGUGAUUCGCUACGACAACCGCGACGUUGGCCUCUCCACGCACCUUGACGAGUACCCGUCGCCGUUCAUACUUCGCAUGGCGCUGCCUACGUGGGCGUCCAUCGGCGAAGGCUCCUUAGCCUACACGCUGGAGGACAUGGCCGAGGACGCCGUCGGCCUUCUGAAGGCGCUGAGGAUCAGCCAAGCGCACAUUGUCGGCUGCUCGAUGGGUGGCAUGAUUGCGCAGCUGUUGACAUUGCGGCACCCAGACAUGGUCGCGAGCCUAUGCCUUCACUCCACCUCUGCUGGUCCCGCCUGGCCCAGGGCGUCGCUGCUGAUGAACAUCCUCGACCAGCCAGAGAGCACCCGUGAUGUGCACUCGGUGCUGGACUACCGCGUGCGCUUCUUCAAGGCAGUCGCAGGCGACAUGACCUUUCACGAGCGCGAGUUCCGUCUCGGCAUGUGGUUCGACUUUGCGCGAGCGCCGUACCAGGGAGGCGGGCGCCGACAUCUGGCCGCGAUUGUGCGCUCCAAGGACCGCAGCGCUGCCCUCAAGGCUCACAUCAACCGACUGAACAGCACCAUGACACGUGGCAGCGAGCGUGGCAGCUCAUCACUGCCGGCAUCGGGCACGACGCCGUCGCGGUGCAUCCCUGUGGUGGUGCUGCACGGUGGGAAAGACCCGCUGGUGGUGCUCUCUAACGCGCAGCAUCUCGCCAGCUGCAUCAACGGUGCUCGACUGGUCGUCUUUCCGAAGAUGGGCCACUACUUCUCCAAGGAAAUGUAUCGAGCCAUCGCGGACGAGAUUAUUCUGAACGCGCGCACGGAUGCGACAGCCAUGAUGAGCGCGUUUCCAUCUUGAGCUGCCGCUAAUGAUGCACAACCCGACACACACCUAUAAAUGCAGACAUGCCCAGCGUUGUCAGGUAGCCUUGGGGCGUGGGGGUGCCGGGAGGCGCAUUAUCGGUUUUGGUGAACACCGUCGUCACGGGCACACGCCUAUGUACGUGCGCACGCACACGCAGGCGUACAGAGGUACGUGUGCAUCUUUCUCCACCCUUUCUUCGCUACAACAUGACGAGAGCACCAUCGAGUUGCGCCAUCGAGCUCUUCAGACUCCCAUGUGGAGAAUCAAUACAACAUAUUGCGGGGAUGCCACGGCUUGGUGCGACUCAGGGAGCAGCAUGGCACAUAGGCAGAGUGUGCAGGGUCUUCGAGGGCCUUGACCUGAAGCUGGCCAGCUUCCUCCUCGAGCUCAUGCAGCAUGCACCUAGACCACCACCCCCUAUUACCCGGCCGACAGACACCACCACUUCCGCCCCCUUUAGCAGCACCGCUGACGCGGCCAGCUUGUAUCAGGCUAUGCGGUCCACCCGGGGUCUCCGUCUGGCGCCGAUCGCGCAGCACGUACCCAAAGAAGGGACAAACAAGGACAAGAUGAGCCGAUAAGACGCAUACCUCCGACUCGUCGUCUAGGCCGGCUCGUUCCAUGACGACGAGGAUUAUAUCCGUGGUGCGACGGAGGCAAGGCGAGCUGUCGCUGCGUAUGCGUCUCUGUUUUGACUUGUUCGUGGCUGGGACUCGGUCACACGUUGUGGAUUCGCAUAAUGCGAACAAGAGAACCGCGGCGGCAACAACACUUCCUCCCUCUUAUUUCACCUCGAGGAGGUUUGUGUGUGUGUGUGCGUGUGCCUCCCUCCCGGCGUUCGCGUCUCUCACUCUGGAUGCCGCUGCCCUUGGAUGUGGUCCGCUCCACCUUACUCCACCACCGACACCCGCAUGCGCCCUCACAAUCUUCCCAACCCCUUCAGCACACAAACGCGUGAGCAAAGUGCGGCUGCUCUGUGAGGGUGCGCGCGCGCGCGUGUGGGUGCCGUGUGGACUGCGGCACGGCCCUACAAACUCAGGAGAGAGGGAAGAGGCAAGGGAGGCUAGUGACUCCCAUUAAGGGACCCUUUUGGGCGUGCUUGCACGUGCAUGCGCACAAGCCGGCUGCUGCUGUCUGGCUUUGCGCGGCUCGGCAGCUCUUUGCCCUUCUUUCCUCCUCCUCCUCACUGAGGCGCUGCUGCUGGAGCAGCGACAGACACGCUGACGCUAACCCCCUCCAUGCUCGCCGACGCAGUUGCACAGGCCCUCCCUACCGCCCUCGUUUGCCGUUCAAGUCCGAAUCCGCAAAUGCUGUCUUCUGCAGCCGGGGGCGUUCGCGGCGCUGAUUCAGGCACCCGCACGACGGCCACCUCUCCCUGCAUCGUAUCUCUCUCGCAGCUCUCAUUUUUGAGUUGCCGCCAUCGGGGCUCCGCACACGCGCUUUUCGUGCAUCUGUGCAGGCCAGUCAGUGCCGCACCCGCCUCAGCCGUUCGUUCCUCCUCCUCAUCGCCGCAGCAGCCUUCCCACUCUCUCUCCUCCCUGUUUUGCCCCUCCUGAGCCACCUGACCUACCUGACCUGCGCACGCACGCACGCAUGCCGUACCCCUCGCCCCUUCCCUCUUCUCCAAACCUUUUCACUUGCUGCUUGAACCCUGCGGCCUUCACUGUCGCCUCCCCCCCCCCCCCUUACAUAG